AAAACUUUUUUUUCAGCCAAUUCAGGCGUAAUUCCGUCAAUUUCGGUGUUUGGUACGCAAACACC
Molecule: non-coding RNA, 65 nt
Organism: Caenorhabditis elegans
Lineage: Eukaryota; Metazoa; Nematoda; Chromadorea; Rhabditida; Rhabditidae
Source: Ensembl